GACGAACGCUGGCGGCGUGCCUAAUGCAUGCAAGUCGCACGCAGGUGCCUUCGGGUGCCUGAGUGGCGCACGGCUGAGGAUCACGUGGGAACCUGCCCGACCGUGGGGGACAACUCGCCGAAAGGCGUGCUAAUCCCGCAUACGCUCCCUUCUCGGGAGGAAAGCCGCAAGGCGCGGACGGAGGGGCCCGCGGCCCAUCAGGUUGUUGGGGGG
This 213-nucleotide ribosomal RNA is filed under the name uncultured bacterium. RNAcentral's name for it is "partial 16S ribosomal RNA". It matches the Rfam family "Bacterial small subunit ribosomal RNA", at positions 28 to 256 of the family's 1533-position model. The record is from RNAcentral.